UUUUAUUCGGAGUCAGUGUCUCGUGGCCUAAUCUGCAAAACCUAAUCGUACGAAGAAAAUCGUACGAAGAAAAAUACUAUAAAUAAAAGCUUUCGUUAUGCAAUUUAAUGGACGCUGGUUUAAUCAAGAACGUCAGCUUCACCACAUGAACAGUUUACGCGAUGAAUUACCGAGGCUACACCUUCCUCAAGGCUAUCUGUAAAUUGUAGCGAGAUACGUGGGGGUGGGAUUAACUAAAUGAGGAUAUCUCAAGGGAGGAUUAAGCGACUGUCUGUGCGCGGUCGUAAGCGAGGGCAUUAAGAUUUCCGAUUAAUGUUGUCCCAUCGAUUUUGGGAUCACGUAAAUAUAUGUAUAAAGAUAAUUUAUAAAACAAAAGAAGCGCUGUACUUCGUUAAGGAUGCAUCGGUCGCGCAGGAUAAGCGAACAGUUUCGCUUGCGGCUAUUCCUCAUUGAGUAGCUAGCCAGCGCAAACACACGCCCGAGACAAAAUCCAUGAAUAUGCAAGCUCGAUCCAGUGGCCGUUGUUCAUUUCUGAAUAUCCGAUGAAUUUACGCGCGAAUGUUUUCCCUGCAUCGCUCAUGUCUGUCUCGGCAGAACCACGGCUGCCACGACUAGAACGAAAGCGGUGCGAAACGACACCACCAUGUGUUGACCCGAAGCAAAGCAUCGGGAAUAGCGAGACACGCUCGUACGUCUGUGCCAAAAUUUCGACUCGUGAAAGACACUCGCGGAGACAACGACGAUUCACGGCAGAGAAAUGCGAUACUGCACGGAUAUGAAAUUUUGGGGACUUCUAUCUGGCAGACAUAUAUUUUUUUCGCUUUUUGUAACAUGCAAACGUCUCCAAACAUCUUUAAUCCUAUUAUUUCAAUUUUAAGGACAUAUUUCGAUUUAUGACACACGUCGUUUCGUAAUUUUUAUGUGGAACGAUAAGCAAAAUCAACAACAAUCGUGAC
This is a long non-coding RNA of Linepithema humile (Argentine ant), 956 nucleotides long. RefSeq lists it as uncharacterized. The record is from RefSeq and is a predicted model, not a curated record. NCBI's taxonomy places the organism in Eukaryota, Metazoa, Arthropoda, Insecta, Hymenoptera, Formicidae.